GGACAGAUUAGUUCCUUAGGCUUCUGGGGCGGCUGGGCGGGAUCAGUAGUAGACUGUGAGAUCAUAGAAUUUGUUAUGGAGAACCUAAAGCCACCGCGCAUGAGGAGGGCUAGGAGGCGGGCAGUGUUGCGAGCAUCGUCAAGGCCACAGUGGGCACGGCCUUCCCAUGCAAGGCCAGAUAGCUGGACUGCCUCCUUCAGAUUGCAGCGCACGCCACCG
RNAcentral lists this unclassified non-coding RNA (219 nucleotides) under Hevea brasiliensis (rubber tree). Lineage: Eukaryota; Viridiplantae; Streptophyta; Magnoliopsida; Malpighiales; Euphorbiaceae. The record is from RNAcentral.